AACAUUCAUUGUUGUCGGUGGGUUGUGAGGAGGCAGCCAGACCCACCGGGGGAUGAAUGUCA
This 62-nucleotide microRNA precursor is filed under the name Mus musculus (house mouse). RNAcentral's name for it is "Mmu-Mir-181-P2c_pre stem-loop". Lineage: Eukaryota; Metazoa; Chordata; Mammalia; Rodentia; Muridae. The record is from RNAcentral.